UACGUAGGGUGCGAGCGUUAAUCGGAAUUACUGGGCGUAAAGCGUGCGCAGGCGGUUUGUUAAGUCCGCUGUGAAAUCCACGAGCUCAACUUGGGAAUUGCAGUGGAUACUGGCAAGCUGGAGUAUGGUAGAGGAAGGUGGAAUUCCCGGUGUAGCAGUGAAAUGCGUAGAGAUCGGGAGGAACACCAGUGGCGAAGGCGGCCUUCUGGACCAAUACUGACGCUCAUGCACGAAAGCGUGGGGAGCAAACAGG
RNAcentral lists this ribosomal RNA (253 nucleotides) under uncultured bacterium. Its description in RNAcentral is "partial 16S ribosomal RNA". It matches the Rfam family "Bacterial small subunit ribosomal RNA", at positions 524 to 776 of the family's 1533-position model. The record is from RNAcentral.